UACGGGGGGAGCAAGCGUUGUUCGGAUUUACUGGGCGUAAAGGGCGCGUAGGCGGCCAGCACAAGUCAGUUGUGAAAUCUCCGAGCUUAACUCGGAAAGGUCAACUGAUACUGUGCGGCUAGAGUGCGGAAGGGGCAACUGGAAUUCUUGGUGUAGCGGUGAAAUUCGUAGAUAUCGGGAGGAACACCGGUGGCGAAGGCGGCGACCUGGGUCGAGACUGACGCUGAGGCGCGAAAGCGUGGGGAGCAAACAGG
RNAcentral lists this ribosomal RNA (254 nucleotides) under uncultured bacterium. Its description in RNAcentral is "partial 16S ribosomal RNA". It matches the Rfam family "Bacterial small subunit ribosomal RNA", at positions 524 to 776 of the family's 1533-position model. The record is from RNAcentral.